Molecule: long non-coding RNA, 1327 nt
Filed under: Anser cygnoides (Swan goose)
Lineage: Eukaryota; Metazoa; Chordata; Aves; Anseriformes; Anatidae
Description: lncRNA (ENSACDG00005007150.1)
Source: RNAcentral
ACGAACCCGACCACCACCACGACGAACCCGACCACCACCACUACGAACCCGACCACUACCACCACCACGACCAUGACCACCACCACCACGACCACCACCACGAGCCCAACCACCACUACCCCAGGUACUGCCCCUCCCACCCUUAGCUGCCCCCAGGGCAGGUUUCUCACCCUGGACCUCCCAGCCCUACCUCACCUGGUCUUUUCUAGGGGUCUGUGAAAAUGGAGGCACUUGGGUCAACGGCCACUGCAUGUGCCCCCCGGGAUACACGGGCAGCACCUGCAGUUACGGCGAGAGCAGCAUCGAGACCAAAGCUGGUAGGGAGCCAUCUGCACCCACCUCCAGCCCACGGGGGGGCAAAACUUCUCGGGAGAAUCAGGAGGGGGGCUUCCUUACAGGGAGGGCAAGUCAGGAGUGACCAUGGCCACAGGCAUGGACCUCAACCAGGGCAUGGGUCCACAGCACCCGAAGGCGUUGGCAGUGAGUUCGCCAACCUGAGUGUUAUCCUGGGGAACCCUGGCAAGGAACCUGGGCAAGGGAUUUCCCAACCAGCACAAGGUCCUACAGCACCCACAGGUGUGGGUAAGGAGUUCUCCAACCACUGUCUUGUCCUCGGGCACCAAAAGAUGUGAGUAAGGAGCUCUCCAAACAUCACAACCACUCCCACAGCACUCAAAGGUGCAGGCAGAAGCAUAGGGCAGGGCAGGGGACCACAGCUGAGGUCCAAGCAGCAGCCAGAAGCAGCCCAGGAGCAGGCCCCCCUUAGCAUAGCUCCAGAGGCCUGGGGGCCUGCCCUUAAAUGCUCCCUCUGCAGCAAUAAGCAGAGGCUGGAGGGCCCAGGUGAGGCUGGUUGGUGCCGCUAAGGCUUGUUAGUGCCCUGUGGGGCUUGGGAACAAUGCCCAUGGUCAUGCUGGGGUUGUCUCCUGCUCCUGAGUCCCAUCUCCUGCCUUCCCCCAAAGAGACCAACGUGUCCGUGAACGUGGAGCUGCGGGUCACCAACCAGGAGUUCUCCGAGGACCUCCGAAACAAAAGCUCCAACACCUACCAGAACUUCGUCCGCAGCUUCACCCAGCAGAUGGACAACUUCUACCGCAACAUUGAAGGCUACCAGGGCAUCGAGAUCCUGAGUCUGUCGCCGGGCAGCAUCGUGGUAGAUCAUGCCAUCAUCGUCGCUCUGCUGGUGACCGCUGAUACCACAGAGAAGAUCAAUAACAUCACCAAGAAUGUGAAGGAGGAGAUUGUCCAAGCAGCGGCCUAUCAGCAAAACUGCACUGACAACAGUGAGCCUCUGCCCUCCAGGGACAGGGUUGGGCCCCCAGGGAUGGGG